AAUAAGAUUAUUUUUUAUUUUUUCGUGUCCAACAUUUGACCAUUCGUUUUAUUUGAAAAAAAUUAUGUUUAAUAUUUUUAUUCUUCCUAGAUGAUAAAAACAUAAAUAGUGUUUUAUGCGUGACUAAUUCUUUUAAGUUUUUAUAUAAAUUUUUUAAAUAAAACAAAUGGUUAAACGUUGGACACGGAAAAACGAAAAAUGAUCUUAUU
Molecule: non-coding RNA, 209 nt
Organism: Oryza brachyantha (malo sina)
Lineage: Eukaryota; Viridiplantae; Streptophyta; Magnoliopsida; Poales; Poaceae
Source: Rfam